AUUUUCCUUUUUUUUGUUAUAUAUUCUUUUGGAUUUUGGAAGUCAAGAUUCAACUUUUGAUUUCAUUUCCUGCUUAUAUUCUGGGAUUUGUUUUCCAUAGUUUGGUUGAUUUUAGUAAUUGAAUAUGGGUUCUUGAGUUGAAAGUUAUUGAGAUCUGAGAAUUGGGAAAGCUCAGUGAUUUGGAUAGGUGUCAAUUGCCAGUGUGAAACUUAAGUUUGCUUGCUGUAGCUAUUCAUGUUCUUGGUGCUUUGCUUAAUUAGAGUACAGCAUGUAUUGAGUGAAGCUCUUAUUUGGCUAAGUGCUCCUUUGUCGUUGGAUUUCUUGGAUGUAUUACAUUCUUAGUUAUACUUUUAUUCACUAUUCUUUUCUGUCUUUUUCUUGGAAUUCUUGGAAUGCAGCAAGCAGAUAUUUAAAUAUGGUUUAAAACAACUGAUUCUAAAUUCUGUUUGGUCUCCUAGGCUUUUCAUUUUAGCAAUGAAACUCUUGCUUUGAAUUGAUUAUGAUGCUGUACCUCUUCUGUCCUUGAAAAUUUUGAACUGUUUUUAAUGGAUUUUUUUUUUGUGCAAAUCAUAUUGU
RNAcentral lists this unclassified non-coding RNA (576 nucleotides) under Hevea brasiliensis (rubber tree). Lineage: Eukaryota; Viridiplantae; Streptophyta; Magnoliopsida; Malpighiales; Euphorbiaceae. The record is from RNAcentral.